Molecule: ribosomal RNA, 377 nt
Filed under: uncultured bacterium
Lineage: Bacteria
Description: bacterial SSU rRNA
Rfam family: Bacterial small subunit ribosomal RNA
Source: RNAcentral
AUACGUAGGGGGCGAGCGUUGUCCGGAAUUACUGGGCGUAAAGGGUGCGUAGGCGGCCCUUUAAGUCAGAUGUGAAAGCCCGCAGCUUAACUGCGGAAUUGCAUUUGAAACUGGAGGGCUUGAGUGUCGGAGAGGGUAGUGGAAUUCCCAGUGUAGCGGUGAAAUGCGUAGAUAUUGGGAGGAACACCAGUGGCGAAGGCGACUGCCUGGACGAUAACUGACGCUGAGGCACGAAAGCUAGGGGAGCAAACAGGAUUAGAUACCCUGGUAGUCCUAGCCGUAAACGAUGGGUACUAGGUGUAGGUGGUUUCGAUACCAUCUGUGCCGUAGUUAACGCAUUAAGUACCCCGCCUGGGGAGUACGUGCGCAAGCAUGAA